Long non-coding RNA from Amphimedon queenslandica, 415 nucleotides. RefSeq lists it as uncharacterized. The transcript has 4 exons. Lineage: Eukaryota; Metazoa; Porifera; Demospongiae; Haplosclerida; Niphatidae. The record is from RefSeq and is a predicted model, not a curated record.
ACUAAGGUUUGUAGCUACAUGUAUACUGUAGUAUUUUUAUUUGUUAUAUGCAUAAUAGUAUCCAUCUGGUGGCUCUCCUGCUCUUAUUAGAGCCAUUGAAAAAGAUAAUACUGAUAAUGUUACAUUGUUACUGGAGAAAGGAGCUGAUCCUAAUGCUACCGAGUAUCCAUCUGGUAGCAAUCCUGCUCUUAUUAAAGCCAUUAAGAAGAAUGAUAUUGGAAUUGUUGAAAUGCUUCUUGAAAAAGGAGCUGAUCCUAAUAUUGAUUUUGAUACUUAUUAUUGUACUCCGUUACACUGUGCUAGUCAAACUGGUAAUGCUAAUAUUAUCAAAUUAUUAAUAACUAAAGGAAAGGCUGAUUUGAAUGCUGUGCAUGAGUGGAGCAGUACUCCAUUGUUUAAUGCUGUUAAGAGUGGU